This 1433-nucleotide ribosomal RNA is filed under the name Enterococcus faecalis. RNAcentral's name for it is "partial 23S ribosomal RNA". It matches the Rfam family "Bacterial large subunit ribosomal RNA", at positions 269 to 1703 of the family's 2925-position model. The record is from RNAcentral. Lineage: Bacteria; Bacillati; Bacillota; Bacilli; Lactobacillales; Enterococcaceae.
CCAAACCAACAAGCUUGCUUGUUGGGGUUGUAGGACUCCAAUAUGGUAGUCUGUUAGUAUAGUUGAAGGAUUUGGAAAAUUCCGCUAAAGAGGGUGAAAGCCCCGUAGACGAAAUGCUAACAACACCUAGGAGGAUCCUGAGUACGGCGGAACACGAGAAAUUCCGUCGGAAUCCGCGGGGACCAUCCCGCAAGGCUAAAUACUCCCUAGUGACCGAUAGUGAACCAGUACCGUGAGGGAAAGGUGAAAAGCACCCCGGAAGGGGAGUGAAAUAGAUCCUGAAACCGUGUGCCUACAACAAGUCAAAGCUCGUUAAUGAGUGAUGGCGUGCCUUUUGUAGAAUGAACCGGCGAGUUACGAUUGCAUGCGAGGUUAAGUCGAAGAGACGGAGCCGCAGCGAAAGCGAGUCUGAAUAGGGCGAAUGAGUAUGUAGUCGUAGACCCGAAACCAUGUGAUCUACCCAUGUCCAGGUUGAAGGUGCGGUAAAACGCACUGGAGGACCGAACCCACGUACGUUGAAAAGUGCGGGGAUGAGGUGUGGGUAGCGGAGAAAUUCCAAACGAACUUGGAGAUAGCUGGUUCUCUCCGAAAUAGCUUUAGGGCUAGCCUCGGAAUUGAGAAUGAUGGAGGUAGAGCACUGUUUGGACUAGGGGCCCAUCUCGGGUUACCGAAUUCAGAUAAACUCCGAAUGCCAUUCAUUUAUAUCCGGGAGUCAGACUGCGAGUGAUAAGAUCCGUAGUCGAAAGGGAAACAGCCCAGACCACCAGCUAAGGUCCCAAAAUAUAUGUUAAGUGGAAAAGGAUGUGGGGUUGCACAGACAACUAGGAUGUUGGCUUAGAAGCAGCCACCAUUUAAAGAGUGCGUAAUAGCUCACUAGUCGAGUGACCCUGCGCCGAAAAUGUACCGGGGCUAAACAUAUUACCGAAGCUGUGGACUACACCAUUAGGUGUAGUGGUAGGAGAGCGUUCUAAGGGCGUUGAAGGUCGAUCGUGAGGACGGCUGGAGCGCUUAGAAGUGAGAAUGCCGGUAUGAGUAGCGAAAGACAGGUGAGAAUCCUGUCCACCGUAUGACUAAGGUUUCCUGGGGAAGGCUCGUCCGCCCAGGGUUAGUCGGGACCUAAGCCGAGGCCGAUAGGCGUAGGCGAUGGACAACAGGUUGAUAUUCCUGUACCAGUUGUUUUUGUUUGAGCAAUGGAGGGACGCAGUAGGCUAAGGAAUGCAUGCGAUUGGAAGUGCAUGUCCAAGCAAUGAGUCUUGAGUAGAGUUAAAUGCUUUACUCUCUAAGGACAAGUUGUGACGGGGAGCGAAAUAAUAGUAGCGAAGUUCCUGAUGUCACACUGCCAAGAAAAGCUUCUAGUGAGAAAACAACUGCCCGUACCGUAAACCGACACAGGUAGUCGAGGAGAGUAUCCUAAGGUGAGCGAGCGAACUCUC